RNAcentral lists this transfer RNA (69 nucleotides) under Ictidomys tridecemlineatus (thirteen-lined ground squirrel). RNAcentral describes it as "Spermophilus tridecemlineatus (thirteen-lined ground squirrel) tRNA". It matches the Rfam family "tRNA". Rfam says of the family: Transfer RNA (tRNA) molecules are approximately 80 nucleotides in length. Their secondary structure includes four short double-helical elements and three loops (D, anti-codon, and T loops). Lineage: Eukaryota; Metazoa; Chordata; Mammalia; Rodentia; Sciuridae. The record is from Rfam by way of RNAcentral.
GGAGUCGUGGCUUAGUGGUAGAGCACUUGCCUGGCAUGUAUGAGGCCCUGGGUUCGAUCCUCAGCACCA